AUGAACGCUGGCGGCGUGCCUAAUACAUGCAAGUCGAGCGAACGGACGAGAAGCUUGCUUCUCUGAUGUUAGCGGCGGACGGGUGAGUAACACGUGGAUAACCUACCUAUAAGACUGGGAUAACUUCGGGAAACCGGAGCUAAUACCGGAUAAUAUUUUGAACCGCAUGGUUCAAAAGUGAAAGACGGUCUUGCUGUCACUUAUAGAUGGAUCCGCGCUGCAUUAGCUAGUUGGUAAGGUAACGGCUUACCAAGGCAACGAUGCAUAGCCGACCUGAGAGGGUGAUCGGCCACACUGGAACUGAGACACGGUCAAGACUCCUACGGGAGGCAGCAGUAGGGAAUCUGCCGCAAUGGGCGAAAGCCUGACGGAGCAACGCCGCGUGAGUGAUGAAGGUCUUCGGAUCGUAAAACUCUGUUAUUAGGGAAGAACAGAUGUGUAAGUAACUGUGCACAUCUUGACGGUACCUAAUCAGAAAGCCACGGCUAACUACGUG
RNAcentral lists this ribosomal RNA (496 nucleotides) under uncultured bacterium. RNAcentral's name for it is "partial 16S ribosomal RNA". It matches the Rfam family "Bacterial small subunit ribosomal RNA", at positions 29 to 507 of the family's 1533-position model. The record is from RNAcentral.